UUUCUGCCGAGGACGACCGGUCCGCCCUCCGGGUGAGCAUCUGGUUCGGCCUUGACAUCUUCUUGGUGAACGUAGCUGCACUUGACUGUGUGGUGCGGUACCCAGGACUUUUACUUUGAGGAAAUUAGAGUGUUUCAAGCAGGCAUACGCCUUGAAUACAUUAGCAUGGAAUAAUAAGAUAGGACCUUGGUUCUAUUUUGUUGGUUUCUAGAGCUGAGGUAAUGAUUAAUAGGGAUAGUUGGGGGCAUUCGUAUUUAACU
This 260-nucleotide ribosomal RNA is filed under the name uncultured dinoflagellate. RNAcentral describes it as "partial 18S ribosomal RNA". The stretch from base 52 to 260 matches the Rfam family "Eukaryotic small subunit ribosomal RNA", at positions 693 to 903 of the family's 1831-position model. The record is from RNAcentral. Lineage: Eukaryota; Dinophyceae.